RNAcentral lists this ribosomal RNA (744 nucleotides) under Triticum aestivum (bread wheat). RNAcentral describes it as "partial small subunit ribosomal RNA". Lineage: Eukaryota; Viridiplantae; Streptophyta; Magnoliopsida; Poales; Poaceae. The record is from RNAcentral.
AUGGAUCAGCUACCUGCAGAUGAUCACUCCUGCUACCACGGCUACUCCAUCUCUUUCUCCUCCGGUGCCCAGUGCACGCAUCACCAGCACGCUCCUCAGGCUCAUGAUGACAUUGAGAUUGAUCACCAGCUGCUCUCGUUCCUCAUGGAAGCCACCAGCAGCAACGACGGCAGCUCAACCUCCACACCUCCCACCUCUGCCUGGGAGGCCGGCAACGGCGAAAGCAGCUCACGCGGCGAGAACAUGGCGGCGCCUGCCGCGUGGCCGGCAUCGGAACCCGGCAGGAGCGCUGGUAGUGCGCCGGACUCGCCGCUCAUCGGGGUGCGGAAGCGGCCGUGGGGCAAGUACGCGGCGGAGAUCCGGGACUCCACCCGCAAUGGCGCCCGCGUCUGGCUCGGCACUUUCGACACCCCGGACGCCGCCGCGCUCGCCUACGACCAGGCCGCCUUCUCAGUGCGCGGCCCAGCCGCCGUGCUCAACUUCCCUGUCAAGCUUGUGCAGGAGUCGCUGCGCGCGCUCGGGCUCGGCGUCGGCCGCGCAGCGGCAGCCGCGGGGGACUCGCCUGCUCUCGCGCUCAAGCGCCGGCACUGCAUCCGGAAGAGAAACCCCAAGAACAAGAGGAGGAUGGGCACGUCGGCGACAGCGACGGAGGUAGCUGCUGCAUCGUCAUUGCCAACGUGCGUGCUGGAACUGGAGGACCUUGGACCCGACUACCUCGAGGAGCUGCUCACCUUGUCCGAUAUG